Molecule: ribosomal RNA, 216 nt
Filed under: Helotiales sp.
Lineage: Eukaryota; Fungi; Ascomycota; Leotiomycetes; Helotiales
Description: partial large subunit ribosomal RNA
Source: RNAcentral
AAGCGCUUGCAAUCAGACUUGCAUGCAGUUGAUCAUCCGAUGUUCUCACCGGUGCACUCAAUUGCGUUCAGGCCAGCAUUGGUUUUGGUGGUUGGAUAAAGGCCUAGGGAAUGUAUCUACCCUCCGGGCGUAGACUUAUAGCCCCGAGUGUCAUGCGGCCUCCCGGGACCGAGGAACGCGCUUCGGCUCGGAUGUUGGCGUAAUGGUUGUCAGCGA